RNAcentral lists this unclassified non-coding RNA (1166 nucleotides) under Hevea brasiliensis (rubber tree). The record is from RNAcentral. Lineage: Eukaryota; Viridiplantae; Streptophyta; Magnoliopsida; Malpighiales; Euphorbiaceae.
CUCGUUUUAACGCCAAAAGCGGCUAACAGGUACGCUUUGAUUUCGAUGGAGAAUUAGGCCUCUCCAGAGAGUCAGACUCUUUCCGAUUCCAUUGUUUAUGUUUUGAACCAUUCAUCUCUACCUUCUCUUAGCAAACGCUACUAGUUGCAUUAGGGUUACUGUUUCGGUUUUGCUUUUGGAUUUUGCGUGGCUCACUGGAACACGUCUUUCUCUACAAGCUAUGGAGUCUACUCUGGUGAUCAAGGUUAAGUACGGUGAUACACUUAGGCGUUUCAAUGCUCAUGUUAACAAGAGUGGACAAAUUGAUUUUGACAUGAGUGGACUAAGGGCAAAAAUCCUUGGUCUAUUUAAUUUCCCUCUUAAUUCUGAUCUUACUCUGACUUAUGUUGAUGAAGAUGGUGAUGUUGUUACACUUGUUGAUGAUGAUGAUCUGCUUGAUGUGAUGAAACAAAGCCUGAAAUUUUUGAGGGUUAAUGUACAGCUGAACAAUGAUAGAUUUGGUAAAUCUUAUGCUAAAUCCUGUGGUAGUUCUAGCCCCUUGAGGUCUCCUCGAGUCCAGGAUCCAUUGCCAAACAUCAACCCCGAAGCUGCUGAUGUGCUGAAAUCUUUUCCAGAGCCACUUCGUGAGUCUCUUUCAAAGCUAUCCCUUGGCUUGUCUGACUUGACUUCAAAAAUUGUUGCUCCCAGUCCUGUGGUUGCUGAGAUUCUUGACUGCUUGUCUAAAAUGGGAAAAGCCUCCUUGAAUCCAUCUCAGCAGUCUCAAGUUGGUGCAAGUUCAAGCGCCCAAACAGGGGCUACAGAACAUCCAAUGGCUUUGGUAGUGCCUACCGAGGCAAAUGCUACCAAUGAUGAACCUAGCCGGGAGGUGACGGUUGCAAAUGUGACUAGAGCUGUGGGCGUGCCUGACAAACCUGUACUUACUCCUGUUGAUUUGAAUCUGGAUCCACCUUGUGAUUCUAAUCCAUCUGGAUGUGCAAAUGUUAUCUCUGCACCAGCACCUCAUGUUUAUGAGAGGAAAGUAACUAAGAAAAAAAAUGCUGGUCAGCCAAGUGAGAAGCCUUUUGGUAGUGGUGCAUCCUCAAGCUCUACUGAUUUAGCGAGGCCUCUUGGUAAUGAAUGCCCAUUUGGUGGAAUGCCUGCGGUAAAUGAGUCAUCUUUUAAUCCUU